CCUAACACAUGCAAGUCGAACGGUAACAGGAAGAAGCUUGCUUCUUUGCUGACGAGUGGCGGACGGGUGAGUAAUGUCUGGGAAACUGCCUGAUGGAGGGGGAUAACUACUGGAAACGGUAGCUAAUACCGCAUAACGUCGCAAGACCAAAGAGGGGGACCUUCGGGCCUCUUGCCAUCGGAUGUGCCCAGAUGGGAUUAGCUAGUAGGUGGGGUAACGGCUCACCUAGGCGACGAUCCCUAGCUGGUCUGAGAGGAUGACCAGCCACACUGGAACUGAGACACGGUCCAGACUCCUACGGGAGGCAGCAGUGGGGAAUAUUGCACAAUGGGCGCAAGC
Molecule: ribosomal RNA, 339 nt
Filed under: uncultured bacterium
Lineage: Bacteria
Description: bacterial SSU rRNA
Rfam family: Bacterial small subunit ribosomal RNA
Source: RNAcentral